AAGUUACACAUAUUCUUUGAAAUGCAAAUUCAAAAUUGGGCAACCCUGUAACUUA
RNAcentral lists this transfer RNA (55 nucleotides) under Heterometrus longimanus. Its description in RNAcentral is "tRNA-Cys". The record is from RNAcentral. Lineage: Eukaryota; Metazoa; Arthropoda; Arachnida; Scorpiones; Scorpionidae.